UACGAAGGGGGCUAGCGUUGUUCGGAAUUACUGGGCGUAAAGCGCGCGCAGGCGGCUAUCCAAGUCAGUGGUGAAAGCCCGGAGCUCAACUCCGGAACUGCCAUUGAAACUGUUUAGCUUGAGGACGAGAGAGGUGAGUGGAAUUCCCAGUGUAGAGGUGAAAUUCGUAGAUAUUGGGAAGAACACCGGUGGCGAAGGCGGCUCGCUGGGCAGUGGCUGACGCUGAGGCGCGACAGCGUGGGGAGCAAACAGG
Molecule: ribosomal RNA, 253 nt
Filed under: uncultured bacterium
Lineage: Bacteria
Description: partial 16S ribosomal RNA
Rfam family: Bacterial small subunit ribosomal RNA
Source: RNAcentral